Molecule: ribosomal RNA, 459 nt
Filed under: uncultured bacterium
Lineage: Bacteria
Description: partial 16S ribosomal RNA
Rfam family: Bacterial small subunit ribosomal RNA
Source: RNAcentral
CCUACGGGAGGCAGCAGUGAGGAAUAUUGGUCAAUGGGCGGGAGCCUGAACCAGCCAAGCCGCGUGAAGGAAGAAGGCGCCAGGCGUCGUAAACUUCUUUUGUCAGGGAACAAAGAGCGCCACGCGUGCCGUUGUGAGUGUACCCGAAGAAAAAGCAUCGGCUAACUCCGUGCCAGCAGCCGCGGUAAUACGGAGGAUGCGAGCGUUAUCCGGAUUUAUUGGGUUUAAAGGGUGCGUAGGCGGUCCGGAAAGUCAGCGGGAAAAGACCGGGGCUAAACCCCGGCGAGCCGGUGAAACUGGCGGACGAGAGUAGGAGAGAAGUACGCGGAAUGCGUGGUGUAGCGGUGAAAUGCAUAGAUAUCGCGCAGAACUCCGAUUGCGAAGGCAGCGUACCGGCGCCGGACUGACGCUGAGGCACGAAAGCGUGGGUAUCGAACAGGAUUUGAUACCCUAGUAGUC